RNAcentral lists this ribosomal RNA (465 nucleotides) under uncultured bacterium. Its description in RNAcentral is "partial 16S ribosomal RNA". It matches the Rfam family "Bacterial small subunit ribosomal RNA", at positions 338 to 795 of the family's 1533-position model. The record is from RNAcentral.
CCUACGUGGGGCAGCAGUGGGGAAUAUUGCGCAAUGGGCGAAAGCCUGACGCAGCGACGCCGCGUGAGGGAUGAAGGACUUCGGAUCGUAAACCUCUGUCAGCAGGGAAGAAUGGUCACUGUGCUAAUCAGCAGUGAAUUGACGGUACCUGCAAAGGAAGCACCGGCUAACUCCGUGCCAGCAGCCGCGGUAAUACGGAGGGUGCGAGCGUUAAUCGGAAUUACUGGGCGUAAAGCGCUCGUAGGCGGUAUGUCAAGUCAAGGGUGAAAUCCCCGCGCUCAACGUGGGAACUGCCUUUGAAACUGGCAAACUGGAGUGUGUGAGAGGAUAGUGGAAUUCCAGGUGUAGGAGUGAAAUCCGUAGAUAUCUGGAGGAACAUCAGUGGCGAAGGCGACUAUCUGGCACAUAACUGACGCUGAGGAGCGAAAGCGUGGGUAGCAAACAGGAUUAGAUACCCUAGUAGUC